AGCUCGUAGUUGGAUUUCUGGCUGAAGCGACCGGUCGGGCGUUGAUUCGUCUGCACUGGAGUCGGUUUUGGCCAUCCUCUAGGAAAGUGCGUCUGGUAUUAAGUUGUCGGGCGUAUGAUCCUGGUCUUUUACUGUGAAAAAAUUAGAGUGUUUAAAGCAGGCCUUCGCCUUGAAUACAUUAGCAUGGAAUAAUAAGAUAGGACUUUGGUCUAUUUUGUUGGUUUGCAGACCGAAGUAAUGAUUAAUAGGGAUAGUUGGGGGUAUUUAUAUUCCGAUGUCAGAGGUGAAAUUCUUAGAUUUUCGGAAGAUAAACUUAUGCGAAAGCAUUUACCAAGGAUGUUUUCAUUAAUCAAGAACGAAAGUUAGGGGAUCGAAGAUGAUUAGAUACCAUCGUAGUCUUAACCAUAAACUAUGCCGACUCAGGAUUGGUGGACGUUUAUUUAAUGACUCCAUCAGCACUGUAUGAGAAAUCAAAGUCUUUGGGUUCCGGGGGGAGUAUGGUCGCAAGGCUGAAACUUAAAGGAAUUGACGGAAGGGCAC
RNAcentral lists this ribosomal RNA (540 nucleotides) under uncultured eukaryote. RNAcentral describes it as "SSU rRNA". It matches the Rfam family "Eukaryotic small subunit ribosomal RNA", at positions 625 to 1167 of the family's 1831-position model. The record is from RNAcentral.